Molecule: ribosomal RNA, 497 nt
Filed under: uncultured bacterium
Lineage: Bacteria
Description: partial 16S ribosomal RNA
Rfam family: Bacterial small subunit ribosomal RNA
Source: RNAcentral
ACUCAAAGGAAUUGACGGGGGCCCGCACAAGCGGCGGAGCAUGCGGAUUAAUUCGAUGCAACGCGAAGAACCUUACCAAGGCUUGACAUACACCGGAAACAUCCAGAGAUGGGUGCCCCGCAAGGUCGGUGUACAGGUGGUGCAUGGUUGUCGUCAGCUCGUGUCGUGAGAUGUUGGGUUAAGUCCCGCAACGAGCGCAACCCUUGUCCUGUGUUGCCAGCGCGUAAAGGCGGGGACUCGCGGGAGACUGCCGGGGUCAACUCGGAGGAAGGUGGGGAUGACGUCAAAUCAUCAUGCCCCUUAUGUCUUGGGCUUCACGCAUGCUACAAUGGCCGGUACAAAGGGUGGCGAUGCCGCGAGGUGGAGCGAAUCCCAAAAAGCCGGUCUCAGUUCGGAUUGGGGUCUGCAACUCGACCCCAUGAAGUCGGAGUCGCUAGUAAUCGCAGAUCAGCAACGCUGCGGUGAAUACGUUCUCGGGCCUUGUACACACCGCCCGU